Molecule: long non-coding RNA, 441 nt
Organism: Drosophila santomea
Lineage: Eukaryota; Metazoa; Arthropoda; Insecta; Diptera; Drosophilidae
Exons: 2
Source: RefSeq, a predicted model, not a curated record
ACAAACAAACUGAAAGAUACACUAUCUGAAGGGUAUACAAAUCGAACGGAUAACAAAUUUUGAAGGCGCGCCAAGCGGAGUGAAAGGCUGGUAACGAAACCCGCCGCCAGGGGGCGCUGCACAACACAAUAACCAGUUCAAAGCAGAUAGGAAAACGAAAAACGACCGCGAGUGGAAAAUUGUUAUGUUGCAACUUUUCAGAAAAACAAGUUCCGUUCGCCUUUCGUUUGUUUUUGAGGUUUCCAUUUCGGCGUCCCCUUUUCGGCAUUAUGAAACAACAAAGAAAAGUUAACACUCAUCCUGCCGAAUGCGUCACCGUAAAAAGUUAAUUAUACUUGUUUAUACUCGUUAGCUGCAGAAGUUCGUUAACUUGGAAAUGUGUCAUAUUAAGCGGAAGUCACAAUAAAAUUCUUGAGAUGCAAUGGAGAUAAGUAAGAAAAA